ACGCACGCUGGCGGCGUGCUUCACCCCUGCCAGUCGCACGGAAAGGCCCUGCUUUUGUGGGGUGCUCGAGUGGCGAACGGGUGAGUAACACGUGAGUAACCUGCCCUUGACUUUGGGAUAACUUCAGGAAACUGGGGCUAAUACCGGAUAGGAGCUCCUGCUGCAUGGUGGGGGUUGGAAAGUUUCGGCGGUUGGGGAGGGACUCGCGGCUUAUCAGCUUGUUGGUGGGGUAGUGGCGUACCAAGGCUUUGACGGGUAGCCGGCCUGAGAGGGUGACCGGCCACAUUGGGCCUGAGAUACGGCCCAGACUCCUACGGGAGGCAGCAGUGGGGAAUAUUGCACAAUGGGCGGAAGCCUGAUGCGGCAGCGCCGCGUGCGGGAUGACGGCCUUCGGGUUGUAAACCGCUUUCGCCUGUGACGAAGCGUGAGUGACGGUAAUGGGUAAAGAAGCACCGGCUAACUACGUG
RNAcentral lists this ribosomal RNA (467 nucleotides) under uncultured bacterium. Its description in RNAcentral is "partial 16S ribosomal RNA". It matches the Rfam family "Bacterial small subunit ribosomal RNA", at positions 29 to 507 of the family's 1533-position model. The record is from RNAcentral.